AUGUCACCCCAAUGUCCCCUCAGUGUCCCCUCACUGUCCCCUCAAUGUCCCAAUGUCUCCUCAGUGUCUCCUCAGUGUCACUCAGUGUCCCCUCAGUGUCCCCAGUGUCACCCAGGUGUCCCCUCAGUGUCCCCCAAUGUCCCCUCAAUGUCUCUCAUUGUCCCCUCACUGUCCCUCAGUGUCACCUCAAUGUCCCCUCAAUGUCCCUUCAGCACCCAUUGCCGCCUCAUGGCCGGAUUUGUGGGGCUCGGGGGUCCAGUGCAGAAUCCUUGGGGGACUCGGGGGGUCCGGUGCGGAAUCCUUUGGGGGCUCGGGGGUCCGGUGCAGGAUCCUUUGGGGGGCUCGGGGGUCNNNNNNNNNNGGGGGUCCGGUGCAGGAUCCUUUGGGGGGCUCGGGGGUCCGGUGCAGAACCCCCCGGCUCCGGCCGGGCCCCCCGCGCCCUGCGCACCCCCAAAUCCCCGUCCCGCGGUGCCCCCCAACCUUCCGCGAUGCUUCCCCCGCACCGCCGGCAGGGGCAGCGCUCCCCGCCCGGCGCCUGCGCCCGCCGCGCCACCGGAGCCUCCGCCCGCCCCGAGCCGGGGGGGUCCCCCCUCCUCCGCCCCGGAGCCCCCCGAAACCCUCAGCGCCGCACAGCGAUGGGCUGAGCGUGCCCGGCAGCUUCCAGGCACGGGCCGGGCUGGGGGGUGCGGGAAACAAAGCCCCACCCCCCAAAAAAAACAUCAAAAAACCCUCGGGGGCGUCACCGAGACCCCCGCGGCCGCUGAGGGACCCCCCCGGUUUGCCCCGGUCCCGGUUGGAGGAGCGACAGCGCCGGGAGCAGCAGGUGGAGGGGGCGGGGGGUGUGGCCGGGAGGGUUUUUGGUUUUUUGGGGAGGGGGGUUGGGGUCGGGCACACCCCGCUGUGAGGCGUUUGGGGCAUUUUUGGGGACCCCCUCGCCGUGCCCAGCGUGGCUCUGCCCACCUAAACCCACGGGGAGGGGGCUGUGGUGGUGUCCCCCCUCCUGUCCCCCUCUGUCCCCCUCCUGUCCCCUCCUAUCGCCCUCUUGUCCCCUCCUGUCCCCUCUGUCCCCGUGCCCCCUCCGGGACCCUUUGCCCGCUCCGUCACGGGCACAGCACGGUGCCCACGCUCUGCCACCUUUGCCCCGGCUCCCGGUGA
This 1155-nucleotide long non-coding RNA is filed under the name Chloebia gouldiae (Gouldian finch). RNAcentral describes it as "Erythrura gouldiae (Gouldian finch) lncRNA (ENSEGOG00005016989.1)". The record is from RNAcentral. Lineage: Eukaryota; Metazoa; Chordata; Aves; Passeriformes; Passeridae.